Molecule: ribosomal RNA, 498 nt
Filed under: uncultured Glomeromycotina
Lineage: Eukaryota; Fungi; Glomeromycota
Description: partial small subunit ribosomal RNA
Rfam family: Eukaryotic small subunit ribosomal RNA
Source: RNAcentral
CCGAUAGCGUAUAUUAAAGUUGUUGCAGUUAAAAAGCUCGUAGUUGAAUUUCGAGAUCGGCUUACUGGUCGUGCUUUUGUACGUACUGGUAAAUCGGUUUCUCCUUUCUGACGAACUAUAAUGCCAUUUAUUUGGUGUUUUAGGAAAUCAGGACUGUUACUUUGAAAAAAUUAGAGUGUUUAAAGCAGGCUCACGCUUGAAUACAUUAGCAUGGAAUAACAGAAUAGGACGUUUGAUUCUAUUUUGUUGGUUUCUAGGAUCGACGUAAUGAUUAAUAGGGAUAGUUAGGGGCAUUAGUAUUCAAUUGUCAGAGGUGAAAUUCUUGGAUUUAUUGAAGACUAACUACUGCGAAAGCAUUUGCCAAGGAUGUUUUCAUUAAUCAAGAACGAAAGUUAGGGGAUCGAAGACGAUCAGAUACCGUCGUAGUCUUAACCAUAAACUAUGCCGACUAGGGAUCGGAUGAUGUUAAUUUUUUAAUGACCCAUUCGGCGCCUUACG